RNAcentral lists this ribosomal RNA (583 nucleotides) under Candidatus Mycoplasma haematominutum. RNAcentral's name for it is "bacterial SSU rRNA". It matches the Rfam family "Bacterial small subunit ribosomal RNA", at positions 324 to 906 of the family's 1533-position model. Lineage: Bacteria; Bacillati; Mycoplasmatota; Mollicutes; Mycoplasmatales; Mycoplasmataceae. The record is from RNAcentral.
UUUUGCCCCAUAUUUCUACGGGAAGCAGCAGUGAGGAAUUUUUCACAAUGGACGAAAGUCUGAUGGAGCAAUACCAUGUGAACGAUGAAGGUCUUCUGAUUGUAAAGUUCUUUUAUUUAGGAAAAAAAGCUUGAGAGGAAAUGAUUAAGCCUUGAUUGUACUAAAUGAAUAAGUGACAGCUAACUAUGUGCCAGCAGCUGCGGUAAAACAUAGGUCACGAGCAUUAUCCGGAUUUAUUGGGCGUAAAGGAAGCGUAGGCGGACAAGUUGAUCUAUUGUUAAAGGCACUUGCUCAACGAGUUGUUUGUGAUAGAUAUCGUUUGUCUAGAAUUAGUUAGGAGAUACUGGAAUUCAAUGUGUAGCGGUGGAAUGCGUAGAUAUAUUGAGGAACACCAGAGGCUAAGGCGAGUAUCUAGGACAUAAUUGACGCUGAGGCUUGAAAGCGUGGGGAGCGAAUGGGAUUAGAUACCCCAGUAGUCCACGCCGUAAACGAUGGGUAUUAGGUAUUUGGUUUAGGACUGAGUGCUGUAGCUAACGCGUUAAAUACCCCGCCUGGGUAGUAUAUAUGCAAAUAUAACUCAAGA